AGGAGGAACAACCACAGUGGCGGGGCCAGCACUGGAGCCCUGGAUUCAGCCCCCGCAGGAACUCCGGAGCUCUCCGUCUGCAGGGCCUGGAGGCUCCGGGGCGGG
Non-coding RNA from Canis lupus familiaris (dog), 105 nucleotides. The record is from Rfam. Lineage: Eukaryota; Metazoa; Chordata; Mammalia; Carnivora; Canidae.